RNA transcript from Hylaeus volcanicus, 1728 nucleotides. RefSeq lists it as uncharacterized. Lineage: Eukaryota; Metazoa; Arthropoda; Insecta; Hymenoptera; Colletidae. The transcript is spliced from 9 exons. The record is from RefSeq and is a predicted model, not a curated record.
AGAUUAUUACUACAUUAUGUUUGCGAACGAGGAAACUGAUGUUUUCUGUUACACAAGUAAAGAUUUAUGGAGGCAACGAAAUGCAUGGUGGUUAAUAGAAUUACCAGAAUCUUUGCUUGAAGAUUCCAUGCAGAAAUAUACUACAAUGUGUGAUGAUGACACGUCAAGGGUAUUAUUUUAUUUAAAAAAUGGCUCAAAUUCCUCCAAUCAUAUAACAUUUAGUAUUUCUGUUAACGAUAUCAAUAUUAUAAAACUUCAAAAAAUUUCGACAAGCCUUUUACUAGGCUCCCUUGUCCCUUGUUCCUACAUUCAAUGGAAGCCGGAAAACACUUAUUCGAUUUCGUCUAACACACGACCAAAGGAAAAGCAAGAUUUGAUACUUUUGGGUGAAAAACAUAAUAUAUUAAUAGUGGAACCAACUUUUCCACGUUUCGAUCCUUUGUUUAAUGUAUCACAAGUGUGUUUGAAAACAUUUCAUGAGCUUUCAGAGGAAACUCAGGCUUCGGUCCAACAACUACAAGCAGUACUAUUAUUCAGUACAUUCUGCUACUAUCCAUUCAAAAAGCAAUGGGUAUUUAUUUCAAAUCAAGUUUUAUUUUCGUUUCUUAUGCCUUUUUUACUACUUUUGCGACGCAAAGCAAUUAGUAUUACGCGCAUACCAUGGUCUGAUCUUUACCAGUGCGCUCAGCAAAGUGCUGAAAGUGUCUCUAAAAAUCUUGGUCUUUAUGUCAAAAAUUCUCCAUUGUUUGCUCUACAAUUAAUUUUUUUUUUUUGUGAUACCAUCGACAUUUCUAAAGAUUCUAUUUUUUUACCCGAUUAUUUCAAACUACAAGAUUAUGCGAUAUCAGACGCUUUUAAUCUGUAUAUAAAUACAUUCAAUGAUGACAAGUUGUUUGAAGAAAUUUCGUUAAUGUUUGAACUUAAUGUACAUAAAGUGUGCCGAAUUGUUUUACGUUCUCAACUUACUAUACUAUCCCCAACUCAUACCAGUGCUUUUUUGGCAUCAUGUGUCUCUUGGUUUUGCGAAUAUUUGCCGCCUGAUUUACUUGAAAAUGAUCCUCUUUGGUCCUCACCUUAUAAUCAUUCAUGUUUUAGAGGAGAUUGUUGGAUGGAUAAUACGAAUGCGACAUUGCAAAAUUCGGAACCUUUACCUGAAUUAUUUCACAGCAUUACAUUCAACGAGUUUUCUUUAAAAGUAAAACCAAAAUUAAAUCCAUCAAUAAGUGAGGACGUCUCCGAUACAAAACUUUAUAGCUACAUCAACGCGCAUCUUAUAAAUAUAUCUUACCUAUCUGGCUUUAUGAUUUCUAAAGAGCAAACUUUGUUUAUAGCUCCACAUUAUUAUCUUUCCUGGGACUGGCGUAAACGAAUUCAAUUUUUUUAGACUUUAUAUCAGUACAAACCUCUUUGGAAUUUGAUAGAGUUAGACACGUAUAUAUCCCCUUUACGGUAUCUUGCUAAAAUGAGUUCGUAUACGAUUCCCUCUAUUGGGGAAAUUGCCAGCAAUUACUUAUUGAAAUCCCAACAUGUCGACGCCUUGGGAAACAUAUUAUAUAUGAACGUUAGACUUUUCAUUGCUUAGAUAUCAGAAGCGUUUUAACUUUUUCAAAGUUGCUAGUUUCAAUUUUUGAGGAACAGGGUUUACGGGAAAAGGCGCCGAAAAUCAGUUUCAUUUAGUUUUUUUACAAGAAAUUUGUUUUAUACAACAAUCUUUUGCAGAAACACUUU